Molecule: long non-coding RNA, 2086 nt
Filed under: Gossypium raimondii (Peruvian cotton)
Lineage: Eukaryota; Viridiplantae; Streptophyta; Magnoliopsida; Malvales; Malvaceae
Description: long non-coding RNA (GRAI_LNC008043)
Source: RNAcentral
UAAUAUAUUCUCAUUAGGGACCUUAUACUUUCUAUUUCUUACAUAAUUUCAUGGCAAUUUUUAUAUUUAUUAAAUUUGAUCCCUAAUGUAGUAAAGUUAACAAAUAAGCCAAACUAACUUGAUAAUCAUGAAAUUAUGUAGGAUUCAAAACUAGCUUGUUUGAAAAAGACCUAAUGUAAAUUGAAUAAAUAAAUUUUAGCAACCCUAAUCCCUUCAAGUUAAAAAUUAGGAUUCAAUUUGAAUAAAUUAGGAACCAAAUUGGGGUCGUUACACUUCUUCCCUCCACCAUACUUUCUUAGCAGCCCUAAUCGCUCCAAGGGUGGUUGAGUUCAACGCUGGAAUCUCAAUGUCCAUCACCAAAUUUUUGCAGCCGAGUAAUGUAGGAUUCAAAAGUUAAAUCAUUAGAUUUUAAUCUUCUGGAUGUUAAAAAGUGAUAAGAGAUUUACAGAAAACAAAUUUAAUGUUUUGGUUGGAUGCAUGAUGGAAGUAAAACUUUUAAGAAUAUAAUAACAAAAACAAAAAUUACUAAAGCAAAGCCCUGCACAGUCCCUAAUCAAAAGUUUCAGUCAUACACAUCUCUAUAGACUUUAUUUCCUGAUACAAAAUUGCUUCGAAAUGCUUGAAUCGAAGGUGUCAUUACUCAUUAGUAUACAAUAUUUUCUUUUAGAGAAAAUAAAAUUACUCAAUCACCAAAAUGAACAAACAAUUACAGCUAUCCAUGAAACGGAGAUGAGGCACUUGAAAUCUUGCCUUUCUGCUUGAGAAGUAGUGGUGUGGUGGUAAUCAUAGUCUAGCAAAAACAUCUCAAGAAGUUGAUGAGGAAAUGGAACAAGUAAUUUUCUUGGUCUAACAUUUCAUGUCGAACCAGUCUUUCCCAGAUGAUGUUCUGAGGCAGAUUAUCACUGUAAUAUAGCAAGGUUGCGACAGAAGCUGCAGGCUCGGUGAGUAACGACAUCAAUAGCCGCAAUAGAGACCGAAACAAAAGGGGCGUCAGAGACUGCAAUAAAGAAGGAAAUACAAGUAUAGGGUGAGCCUUAUCUAUCUACACACACAUGUGUAUGAAUGAAUAUUGAUGUUAUGAUGAUAAAGAACGAUGAAAGAAGAGAUGGCCAAGGAAAAGAAGCAUAUACCAUGGGUUACUGUGGAGUUUGGAGAGCCUGAAAGAAUGCCGGAAAUGGGAACUUGAAACAGGUAGUCAAAGAAAGUUUGGGCCAUUGGGUUUGGGUUCUUUAACUGCCAAUCUUAGGAACCAGCUGACAUUCAGACCUAACCUUCCUUGUAGUUACCAGGAACUAUGAAAAAAAUUGGGAACUGGUAGCUAGAGAAAACCGAGGGGUCAAACCGUUCUACUGUACUUGUGAAAUAUAUAUUCUUUUGAUUGCCUAUUAGUACAAGCGACUUCCUCCCUCCCUGGCCAUUUGGGAAUCAUGGGUUUAACAGUUUGGUUCAGUACUAUACAUUAUUUUCUUGUUCAAUGCUAUCGGGGUACCAUUCUCAAUCAACUCUAACAGUCAACUAUUGAAAAUUUGAAUAUGAACCAAGUUAGAUUUCUGGGUUGUUAAAUACAAUGCAAGAAGAGGAGAAAAUGCCUUUACUACGUAGAUUUUCUUCCUGUUUUCCAAGCCUUCCAUCUAAUUUCAUUGAUUCUUUCUCUUCCACUAACUGCCACAUUUCACGUUUACAAUAUAUAUAUAUAUAUUCUAGAUUAUGAGUAAUAUACAGACUGGAAAACUAGUAAUAUUUUUCUUGAUGAUGAUGAUGUGAACCCUAAAUAUCAGAUUUUGGAAUGCCAAGAAUAUUUCGUCACAAUCGAGUCCAUGAUACAAACAGCGUGAGUUGGCACAUAGUAAUAUAAACGAAAAAGUUUAUGACAUAACAUUUACUAUAUUUUGGGCCUAAAUUUCUACAAGAACCAAAAGAACCUGCAUAUGCUACUAAAACUGAAACAAGGGUAACAUUUCCUGAUACUGAAUCAGGCAAUCUUUCGGCAAAUAUCGUCCAUAUAUCCAUGAUAGAAGCUAACUAGAGAUAUGUGUUCCUUUUUCCCUCUAAAAGUUCUAGCUAAUCAUGUCUAUAGUUAUGUAAU